Molecule: ribosomal RNA, 466 nt
Filed under: uncultured bacterium
Lineage: Bacteria
Description: partial 16S ribosomal RNA
Rfam family: Bacterial small subunit ribosomal RNA
Source: RNAcentral
CUACGGGGUGCACCAGUGGGGAAUAUUGGACAAUGGGGGAAACCCUGAUCCAGCAAUGCCGCGUGUGUGAAGAAGGCCUGCGGGUUGUAAAGCACUUUCGGUUGGGAGGACUGCUUCUAGCACUAAUAUUGUUGGAAGUUGACGUUACCUUCAGAAGAAGCACCGGCUAACUCCGUGCCAGCAGCCGCGGGUAAUACGGAGGGUGCAAGCGUUAAUCGGAAUUACUGGGCGUAAAGCGCGCGUAGGCGGCUAGAUCAGUCGGGUGUGAAAGCCCCGGGCUUAACCUGGGAACUGCAUCCGAUACUGUCUAGCUUGAGUACAGGAGAGGAGAGUGGAAUUCCAUAUGUAGCGGUGAAAUGCGUAGAUAUGUGGAGGAACACCAAUGGCGAAGGCAGCUCUCUGGCCUGAUACUGACGCUGAGGUGCGAAAGCGUGGGGAGCAAACAGGAUUAGAUACCCCCGUAGUC